GUGGGGAAUCUUGCGCAAUGGGCGAAAGCCUGACGCAGCCAUGCCGCGUGAAUGAUGAAGGUCUUAGGAUUGUAAAAUUCUUUCACCGGGGACGAUAAUGGCGGUACCCGGAGAAGAAGCCCCGGCUAACUUCGUGCCAGCAGCCGCGGUAAUACGAAGGGGGCUAGCGUUGCUCGGAAUUACUGGGCGUAAAGGGCGCGUAGGCGGACAGUUUAGUCAGAGGUGAAAGCCCAGGGCUCAACCUUGGAAUUGCCUUUGAUACUGGCUGUCUUGAGUACGGGAGAGGUGAGUGGAACUCCGAGUGUAGAGGUGAAAUUCGUAGAUAUUCGGAAGAACACCAGUGGCGAAGGCGACUCACUGGCCCGUUACUGACGCUGAGGCGCGAAAGCGUGGGGAGCAAACAGGAUUAGAUACCCCGGUAGUCC
This 425-nucleotide ribosomal RNA is filed under the name uncultured bacterium. RNAcentral describes it as "partial 16S ribosomal RNA". It matches the Rfam family "Bacterial small subunit ribosomal RNA", at positions 354 to 796 of the family's 1533-position model. The record is from RNAcentral.